Molecule: non-coding RNA, 66 nt
Filed under: unclassified sequences
Description: RAGATH-18 RNA
Rfam family: RAGATH-18 RNA
About the family: Actinobacteria, Firmicutes, Fusobacteria, Thermotogae (1 example).
Source: Rfam by way of RNAcentral
CCUGUGGAGUGUUAAGCAAACUGUAGUAGCAGGAUAGACGCGAGGCAGAACACGAUGAAGCAGGAA